AGAGUUUGAUCCUGGCUCAGGACGAACGCUGGCGGCGUGCUUAACACAUGCAAGUCGAACGGUGAGGCUCCAGCUUGCUGGAGUGGAUCAGUGGCGAACGGGUGAGUAACACGUGAGCAACCUGCCCCAGACUCUGGAAUAAGCGCUGGAAACGGCGUCUAAUACUGGAUACGAGAUCAAGCCGCAUGGUUAUGGUCUGGAAAGUUUUUCGGUUUGGGAUGGGCUCGCGGCCUAUCAGCUUGUUGGUGAGGUAAUGGCUCACCAAGGCGACGACGGGUAGCCGGCCUGAGAGGGCGACCGGCCACACUGGGACUGAGACACGGCCCAGACUCCUACGGGAGGCAGCAGUGGGGAAUAUUGCACAAUGGGCGAAAGCCCGAUGCAGCGACGCCGCGUGAGGGAUGACGGCCUUCGGGUUGUAAACCUCUUUCAGCAGGGAAGAAGCGAAAGUGACGGUACCUGCAGAAGAAGCACCGGCUAACUACGUGCCAGCAGCCGCGGUAAUACGUAGGGUGCGAGCGUUGUCCGGAAUUAUUGGGCGUAAAGAGCUUGUAGGCGGUUUGUCGCGUCUGCUGUGAAAAUCCGGGGCUCAACCCCGGACUUGCAGUGGGUACGGGCAGACUAGAGUGUGGUAGGGGAGACUGGAAUUCCUGGUGUAGCGGUGAAAUGCGCAGAUAUCAGGAGGAACACCGAUGGCGAAGGCAGGUCUCUGGGCCACUACUGACGCUGAGAAGCGAAAGCAUGGGGAGCGAACAGGAUUAGAUACCCUGGUAGUCCAUGCCGUAAACGUUGGGCGCUAGGUGUGGGACUCAUUCCACGAGUUCCGUGCCGCAGCUAACGCAUUAAGCGCCCCGCCUGGGGAGUACGGCCGCAAGGCUAAAACUCAAAGGAAUUGACGGGGGCCCGCACAAGCGGCGGAGCAUGCGGAUUAAUUCGAUGCAACGCGAAGAACCUUACCAAGGCUUGACAUAUACCGGAAACUUCCAGAGAUGGUUGCCCCCUUUGGGUCGGUAUACAGGUGGUGCAUGGUUGUCGUCAGCUCGUGUCGUGAGAUGUUGGGUUAAGUCCCGCAACGAGCGCAACCCUCGUUCUAUGUUGCCAGCACGUCAUGGUGGGGACUCAUGGAAGACUGCCGGGGUCAACUCGGAGGAAGUGGGGAUGACGUCAAAUCAUCAUGCCCCUUAUGUCUUGGGCUUCACG
This 1200-nucleotide ribosomal RNA is filed under the name uncultured bacterium. Its description in RNAcentral is "bacterial SSU rRNA". It matches the Rfam family "Bacterial small subunit ribosomal RNA", at positions 8 to 1220 of the family's 1533-position model. The record is from RNAcentral.